This 76-nucleotide transfer RNA is filed under the name Escherichia coli 2-210-07_S1_C2. Its description in RNAcentral is "tRNA-Lys". It matches the Rfam family "tRNA". Rfam says of the family: Transfer RNA (tRNA) molecules are approximately 80 nucleotides in length. Lineage: Bacteria; Pseudomonadati; Pseudomonadota; Gammaproteobacteria; Enterobacterales; Enterobacteriaceae. The record is from RNAcentral.
GGGUCGUUAGCUCAGUUGGUAGAGCAGUUGACUUUUAAUCAAUUGGUCGCAGGUUCGAAUCUUUCACGACCCACCA